GACGAACGCUGGCGGCGUGCCUAAUACGUGCAAGUCGAACGAGAGCGACCGGUGCUUGCACUGGUCAAUCUAGUGGCGAACGGGUGAGUAACACGUGGGUAACCUGCCCAUCAGAGGGGGAUAACAUCCGGAAACGGAUGCUAAAACCGCAUAGGUCUUCGAACCGCAUGGUUUGAAGAGGAAAAGAGGCGCAAGCUUCUGCUGAUGGAUGGACCCGCGGUGCAUUAGCUAGUUGGUGAGGUAACGGCUCACCAAGGCCGUGAUGCAUAGCCGACCUGAGAGGGUGAUCGGCCACAUUGGGACUGAGGCACGGCCCAAACUCCUACGGGAGGCAGCAGUAGGGAAUCUUCCGCAAUGGACGCAAGUCUGACGGAGCAACGCCGCGUGAGUGAAGAAGGUUUUCGGAUCGUAAAACUCUGUUGUUAGAGAAGAACAAGUGCUAGAGUAACUGUUAGCGCCUUGACGGUAUCUAACCAGAAAGCCACGGCUAACUACGUG
RNAcentral lists this ribosomal RNA (498 nucleotides) under uncultured bacterium. Its description in RNAcentral is "partial 16S ribosomal RNA". It matches the Rfam family "Bacterial small subunit ribosomal RNA", at positions 28 to 507 of the family's 1533-position model. The record is from RNAcentral.